Molecule: transfer RNA, 70 nt
Filed under: Loxodonta africana (African savanna elephant)
Lineage: Eukaryota; Metazoa; Chordata; Mammalia; Proboscidea; Elephantidae
Rfam family: tRNA
About the family: Transfer RNA (tRNA) molecules are approximately 80 nucleotides in length. Their secondary structure includes four short double-helical elements and three loops (D, anti-codon, and T loops). Further hydrogen bonds mediate the characteristic L-shaped molecular structure. tRNAs have two regions of fundamental functional importance: the anti-codon, which is responsible for specific mRNA codon recognition, and the 3' end, to which the tRNAs corresponding amino acid is attached (by aminoacyl-tRNA synthetases). tRNAs cope with the degeneracy of the genetic code in two manners: having more than one tRNA (with a specific anti-codon) for a particular amino acid; and 'wobble' base-pairing, i.e. permitting non-standard base-pairing at the 3rd anti-codon position.
Source: Rfam by way of RNAcentral
GCAUUGGUGGUUCAGUGGUAGAAUUCUCACCUGCCAUGCUGAGGCCUGGGUUCAAUUCACAGCCAAUGCA